RNAcentral lists this small RNA (28 nucleotides) under Bombyx mori (domestic silkworm). Its description in RNAcentral is "ovarian small RNA-31674". The record is from RNAcentral. Lineage: Eukaryota; Metazoa; Arthropoda; Insecta; Lepidoptera; Bombycidae.
UGACCUUUACAGAGCAUUUUGUUUGGAA